GCUAACCCCUGCGUAUAUAUUCAAGUGUAUAAAUUCAGGAUGAGAUGAUUAGGAAAGAAUGCUUUUGCUGAUUUCAUAGUAUUUAGUGACAGCUUCAAAAGCGGCAGCAAGAGCAUUUUAGUAUUUGAGAUGAUCGGUGGCUUACUGUUGAGUGCACGGACCACUGGGUUUUGCAUGAUUUCUCUUCAGGGUUCAUUUUUGUUUUCGGGGAUAUGGAUUUCAUAACUUAUUCUGCAUAUAUGACGUGUAUAAGGGUACAAGGAUAAAUGUCUUUGGGGGUUUUCAGAUUUUGAGGGUUGAUGGUGUAACAUGGGGAUUUUUAUAGAAUUGUAUAGGUUGUGAGACGGACUCUUUUUGAAUUAGUCUCAUAAAAUUGUUCUCGAGAUAGAAGUUGCUUUGUAUCUAAAGAUGUGGUAUGUAAAUUGAAUCAUGGUACUGUUAGAAGUAAAAGAAAGAUCUACCAACUAAUAGUGGGAC
This 477-nucleotide unclassified non-coding RNA is filed under the name Hevea brasiliensis (rubber tree). Lineage: Eukaryota; Viridiplantae; Streptophyta; Magnoliopsida; Malpighiales; Euphorbiaceae. The record is from RNAcentral.